UCAGUAUGUGCUUGACAUGCAAAUUAUUUGAUUUUCUGGGAAAUAGCUUGCUGUUGGGCAAGGGAUCUGAAUAUUAUAUGGUAGCUAGUGCAUAUUAUGUAUAUUCUGUUAGUUAUUAUAUGUAUAUGAUCAUAGGACACAAUAUAUGAACAUGCAUAUGGAUCUGAAUGUAGUUAAUUAGGUUGUAAAUUAGGUUAUAUAUAUGUAUCUGAAUGUAGUUAAUUAGGUUGUAAAUUAGGUUAUAUAUAUGUAUCUGAAUGUAGUUAAUUAGGUUGUAAAUUAGGUUAUAUAUAUGUAUCUGAAUGUAGUUAAUUAGGUUGUAAAUUACAGAGUUACA
This 337-nucleotide long non-coding RNA is filed under the name Cicer arietinum (chickpea). Its description in RNAcentral is "long non-coding RNA (CARI_LNC002937)". The record is from RNAcentral. Lineage: Eukaryota; Viridiplantae; Streptophyta; Magnoliopsida; Fabales; Fabaceae.